Molecule: long non-coding RNA, 244 nt
Filed under: Phoenix dactylifera (date palm)
Lineage: Eukaryota; Viridiplantae; Streptophyta; Magnoliopsida; Arecales; Arecaceae
Description: long non-coding RNA (PDAC_LNC012074)
Source: RNAcentral
CAAAGGAUCACUUGAUAUACUUGACUCAGCUUGUUCCUCUUGAUGAGUCGCAUCAUUCCCCCUUUCCUCAAAAGGAUUCGUCCUCGAAUCAUCACCUACAUCAAAGGGAGAAAGAUCAGCAACAUUGAAUGUAGUACUAAUGUUAUACUCACCUGGAAGAUCUAUCUUGUAAGCAUUGUCAUUGAUCUUCUCAAGAACUUGAAAUGGACCAUCCCCUCUAGGAUUCAGUUUGCACUUCCUUUGU